Dryobates pubescens (Downy woodpecker) is the source of this 2699-nucleotide long non-coding RNA. RefSeq lists it as uncharacterized. The transcript is spliced from 2 exons. Lineage: Eukaryota; Metazoa; Chordata; Aves; Piciformes; Picidae. The record is from RefSeq and is a predicted model, not a curated record.
UUUCCCCCAGAGGACUUUUGAGAGAUUUUUUUUCUAUUUCAGUCAGGAAGUAUUUAAAGCCCUUGGGCAGGUGGAGGACAUCAAAUCUGAUAUUUACCAUUAAAGGCUUGGAGCUCAGUCCCUUCCCUCACUGCCACAGCCUUCAUUCCUCCUGGCCCUGCUGUGGCCACGGCUGCUUCCAUCUGCAGAGCACACAGGGAUCCUCACCAGCCCCCUUGGGGGGAAAAGAAGCAUUUUGCCUAACACCCAGCCUUGCAUCUCUGUCUUGCACAGGUCCUCACCCAAACAGCUCCUGAACCCACCAGCAGCUCUCAGGCUGACUCAGUGCUGGGAUUGCAUUCCUGCCAGGGUCACAUCACCUGGGGGAUGUCCACAUGGGAAGGACCAGACUGGAACAGCAGCUUAAAGACAUGCAGUUCUGGGCUCCCCAGUUCAAGAGUGGUAGGGUUCUACUAGGGAGUGUCCAAAGGAUGCAAUGAGGAUACUGAGGAUGUCUGGUGAGAAAGGGCUGAGAGCCCUGGGGCUGUUGAGCUUGGAGAAGAGCAGCCCCAGAGGGGAUCUGAUCAAUGCUGAUCAAUAUCUGAAGGGUAGGGGGCAAGAAUAAGGGGCCAGGCUCUGUCCUGUGAUAGGACACAAACUGGAACCCAGGAAGUUCCACCUCAACAUGAGGAGAAACUUGUUUAGUGUGAGGGUGCUGGAGGCCAGGAGCAGGCUCCCCAGAGAGGUGGUGGAGUCUCCUUCACUAGAGAGUUUUCAAACCCAUCUGGAUGUGUUCCUGUGUGACCUGCCCUUGGUGAUCCUGCUCUGGCUCCAUGAUCUCCAGAAGUCUCCAUUAAUUCCUGAAGUUGCAUGUGAGGUGCAAGAGUCAGCUGGUUGUGCAAAGGAACACACUUAGCCAUGGCACAUGCUGAGAAGCCUCACUGAAGGCUUUUGAGUGACCUGAAUUUGGACAAUCCAGUCUCAUAGGGACACAAUGAACUCUUCAGCUCUGACCUUUGCUAAGGAGGUAACGCUCAGCAGUCCCUUGGUGACUCUUCCAACACCAAAGCCUGGCAGUGGGUGGUGUUUACAGACAUGAGGGAAGAUGCUGUUUUGUGCCAAAGAAGCUUCAGAACUUGUUUACGUGAGUAGCUGCAAUACCAGACAGACCCUGAAUGACUCCUCACUCCUCGGUGUUUCCAGCUUGUCACCAUCCUCUGGCAGCUUUGAGUUGCUUUGCCUCUUGUGACAGUAACUUGGCACUGCUGGUGUGAUCUGCUCUUGGGGUGGGCUUGGAAGAAUGAGCAUUUGUGCUUCCUGGUACUAAAAACUACAGGAGAGGUUUAGCUGCUGCAAGUAUGAGGCUGUGGGUCUCUGGAACUCCAGGUAUGGUUGGGUUUACCUGGAGGAGGCUCAAGAUGAUCAAGAGGAGACCACCAAGAUGAUCCAAGGGCUGGAGCAGCUCUGCUGUGGAGACUGGCUGGGAGAGUUGGGGCUGUUCAGCCUGGAGAAGAGAAGGCUGCAUAGAGUCUUUAGAGCAGCCUGCCAGAAUCUGAAGGGGUCUUCUGGAGAACUGGGGGAGGGUCACUUCUGGCACAGGCAUGGAGUGACAGGAUGAGGGGUGAUGGCUCCAAACUGGAAGAUGCUGGAUUGAGAGGAGACAUUUGAAAGCAAUUCUUCCCUAUGAGGAUGGUGAGACAUUGGAACAGGUUUCCCAGAGAGGGUGGAGAAGCUCCAAGCCUGGAGGUGUUCAAGGCCAGGUUGGAUGAGGCCUUGAGCAAGCUGGGCUAGUGGGAGGUGUCCCUGGCCAUGGCAAGGGGUUGGAACUGGAUGAUCUUGGAGAAGCUUUCCAACACAAACCAGUGUGGGAUUCUAAGAUACAUCUCCUCAGGUCUCCAGCCUGCAGUGCUGGAGGUUGUUGUGUCCAUGGCAGGUUGAGCGGCUGCUGAUGCCAUCUCAACGCAGACAUCUAAAGCAGCUUAGCAGAGCCCACCAGACCUCAUCUUUCAAACCCCUUUCAGUUAAUUUCUGUGUAAUAAAGUCUGGCCAAAUCCCUUCAUGCAGUGUCAGAACCUCCAUGACUCCAUCUGGCUUGUGCCACUGUCCCCUCAUGGCAGGUGAGUGAUGUCACUAAAUGCUGUUUUAUAAACCAGAGAUGUCUUUCGACUAGAGAUGAGUUUUGCCUCCUCCCUGGAGGAAGUCAAGGUCAGGUUGGAUGAGGCCUUGAGUGAGUUGGGCUAGUUGGAGGUGUCCCUGCCCAUGGCAGGGGGUUGGAACUGGAUGAUCUUGAAGGUCCCUUCCAACCCAAACCCAAUCUAGGAUUCUAUGUCUACAAGUUCAGUGAGGGAGUCCACCCAUGGACAUUGUAGAUGAAGGUCCGGUGGUUUCAUGAGGCUUGUUUGCUGUUAAGCCCUCUCUCUACAUCCCACCACACCAGGAGUGUGGAGGGGACUGUGAUUUGUCACCCUCAGUUGUGUUCAUCGAUGGCUCUUGGAGCUGCUGCUGUGAGAUGUCUCAUUAACUGGAGUCUUCUGUGUGGUCUGGCCCCACCAUGGGCUUCUGGGUGUCAGUUUGUGCAUGAGGGAUCAGCUCUGUGUGUUCUCCUCAGUUCUGAACAUUAACCAUAGCCCCAUGACACUGAGACAGUGCCUGGGCUCUGUGUUUGGUUCUGAGCUUCCAUGAGUGUUGCACAUAAAUUAAACGUUUUGUAUCAUCGCUAA